UUUAAUCAGGACUUUAGUCCUGAAGAAAACUCCUUUUAAAUUAACAUAUGUAAAGUGAAAUAUGUUUGCUUAGACAUUUUUCACUUCAUCAAAGAUCCCUUAAGCUGGACUUUUUUUGGACCAAGUUGAGGUUAGCAUUUCCUUAAUCGAGAAAAUCAUUACGAAAAUAAUCAUCUUUAUCUGUCUUAAUCGAAAAAAUCAUACAAAAACAAAAAUAAAACAUAAGGCAAGCCCCCGGAACAUGGCCCAGACCUACUCCACUCUGAAAUUCUUACAGACACCUACUCGGGGGGUAAGUAUUGCAAAUUGUAUCCCAAACUCAAGUCCCAUGUAUCCCCAUUAACCGAUUCACAUGGCAAUUAGUCCAUAUUGUUUGUGCAUCGAGUAGUAUAGCUGGCUGGUGGGUUCUCUUUCACCCGGAACGUGCAACAAGUGCCGCAGCAGGCAGCAGUCAGCAGGUGCUACCAACUAUAGGAGAUCACGCCUUCUUUCGGUGUGUGUGACCAAAAAUAUGGAUCAUGCUUCUUGUUGGAUCACUUAGGUUAAUGAGUAUCUCGUCUAGCCAUGCAAAUUGUGAACCGAAUUGAAAAUCAAAGCCUGAACUUGAGGCACAGCCCACUCGGAACCACAACAGCCCCUUUGGGGCUCCUUAAUCUCCAUAUCGCGAGUCUCUCGAGUAUUCUUUUUAAAGAAAGACCGAAAAAAAAUACAACAAAAAUUAUCCACACUUUGCACCCUUUUGACAGAAAGUGAAGCCUCGAUUCAUGGCUAAUUUAGGUGGGUCUGUGGAGCGAAAGAAGGGUGUCGGCCGAGGACCCUGAGUUGGGUGAUAUGGGCGAAGUCUAAAUGCAGCACAUGAUGUUAGUUGUUGUUGCUGUUGCAGGCAGUCAGGUAGUGUUGCUACAUAUUAAAUGCACUGCAGCUGCAAACACUUUCACUUUUUUCUAUGCUAAUUUUCCCUGCAGAAAGCGAGCCAUACCAUACAUAAAAAAUUGAAGGAAAACUAAAAUGUUGGGUAUAAGUCGAGUUUCAAUUUUUAUGAAUUUCCAAAAAUUAUUCCUAAGCGGAUGAUAUGUUGAUGUUUCGCCAAACUAAAGUACUGACAGCAUUGUCGCAUCAGAAUUACUGCAAUUAAAGGUAAAGAGAAG
RNAcentral lists this long non-coding RNA (1148 nucleotides) under Drosophila guanche. Lineage: Eukaryota; Metazoa; Arthropoda; Insecta; Diptera; Drosophilidae. The record is from RNAcentral.